This is a long non-coding RNA of Astyanax mexicanus (Mexican tetra), 2215 nucleotides long. RefSeq lists it as uncharacterized. The record is from RefSeq and is a predicted model, not a curated record. The transcript is spliced from 3 exons. NCBI's taxonomy places the organism in Eukaryota, Metazoa, Chordata, Actinopteri, Characiformes, Acestrorhamphidae.
CUAUUUUGCCGUUUAGCACAGGCUAAUGCUAGCGUGUGCUAAACGCUCAUCAUAAACAUGAGGCGUGUCCAUCAACAGCUUUCUUAUUUGCAUAAAAGUGACAGAACCCUUAAACGGCUCGUUCUGCAAGGGAUUUUAUGUGGGAGUAAUUUUGUGUAAAGUUACUUAAUGACUUAAUGAACAUGUUUUAUUAUACAUUUAUAUAUAUUUUAGAUAUUCUGACUCAUUUAAAAAGAGUUAUAAUAUGUCUACUUUAUGAUUCUUUUAAUUUUCAGAAAUUUAAAUUUAAAUUUAUAUCAGUUUUACAUUAUUAUUUUAAGGAAUUGCACAGAGUAAGCAGGUUUUGCUCUUAAAGCAUUAAGACAUGUUUAACACAUUCAAAAAAUAGAAAUAAUAAACGUAUCAUUUUUGUACAGAAAUAUGAUGCUAAUAUAUGAGGUUUCUGUGCUGAGUUUUAGAAAUACUCCAUACAGAAGUACAGUAUCCCGACUGACCCGAGAUCAGCCGCAGAUUAGAGCCAGUAAAGGAAAUGAGGCGUAAAGUAGCUUUAUAGUGUUUAUAUUAGAGCUCUCAAUGACUUCCCACAUAUAUACACUGUGUUUAUAUUUAUAUCUCAUGAUUAUAUUGUUUGUAGAAAUACACAAACACACUGAGCACACACACACAAACAUGCAAACACACACAAACACACAAACAAAACCCUUAAACCUCCUCCGAGUUCAACAGGAGGGUAUUGUUUCCUUAAUUAGUGCAGAUAGAGAGAUAGUAAUGGGCGCUGCUCGUAAAAACUCUUAUAGUUCAGCUAGAAAAAUACUGGAGCUUUUUAUUGAGACGCAUCUUGAAGCAAUUUACUGAGAAAAGAGGAAAAACAAACAGUGAAAAAAGCUGCAGAUCCAGAGCAAAAACACUCACUGAUGAGGAAACACUGGAACAAAUGUGCAAAUCUCGCACUUUUCCUGACAACCAGCCUCCAAAACACCCUCACUGCAGCUGCUGUACACAUCACCAGGACUGCGACAAAAUAUCGGUACUGCGAUAUAUCGAUGUAUCAUAAUGUUUUAGUUUGAUACAUUAUUUUAUAUAUAUUUCAUAUAUAUAUAUAUUAUAUUUAUAUAGAUAUUUUAUUGAAACAUAGGCAACUAAAGACUGAAACACAGCCCCAGUUAGACUUACCAUAAUUACUGCUUCAUUACUCCACAUGGUAGCACUAUAAUAUCCGUGGUGAUUGCUAAAGUGUUGCUAGGUGGUUGCUAAGGUACUCUAGGUGGUUGCUAUAAUAUCUGUGGUGAUUGCUAAGGUGUUGCUAGGUGGUUGCUAAGGUAUUCCAGGUGGUUGCUCUAAUAUCCGUGGUGAUUACUAAAGUGUUGCUAGGUGGUUGCUAAGGUACUCUAGGUGGUUGCUAUAAUAUCUGUGGUGAUUGCUAAGGUGUUGCUAGGUGGUUGCUAAGGUAUUCCAGGUGGUUGCUAUAAUAUCCGUGGUGAUUGCUAAGGUGUUGUAAAGUUGUUUAGCCACUCAGACUAACUCACUAAACUGCAGUGUGAAACCGAAACUAAACGUACUAAACGUAAAGAAUACAAUUAAACACACACACACACACACACACACACACACAAACACACACACACACACACAAACACACACACACACACACAAACAGACCUGAGGACCUGAAUACACUGAAUACUAUAUAUAAAAUGGGGUAUAGAAGUAUUUAGGCACUCUCCAUAAGGUAGCCUCACCAAAGCCACACUUACCUCAAUACCCAAAGCCCCGCCCCCCCCCUGUCCCGGCCACACACACACACACACACACACACGCACACACACACACUGAGCCCCGGGUCUCUGAGGGUCAGGGGUGAAAGCUGUGGGAGCUCAUUAGCAGCUCUGUGGUUCGUGUUUGUGUGAAGUUGUGUUUUUCUACAGGUCAGAAAUCACCAGGGGGAUUUUACCUCACUUUCCCCACUUUUCACCAUCAUUUACACUCUUAAACUGCUCUGUUCACUAGUGCUGAGUGUAGGCAAGACCUUAUACAGAUGAUACGCAUCACAAUAUGUAUAAUAUAUAAUAAUGGGUCCGGAUCGGACAACGUCUGAGUCCAGACCAAAACCGCAGUCCGCAUAUAUGUGAUCCCUGGUCUAGACCAUAUACACGGUUCUGUUUUAUAAAACCACUCCUUGCUGCCCUGCAGAGAACAACAGCUUCAAUGUUCAGUU